RNAcentral lists this ribosomal RNA (495 nucleotides) under uncultured bacterium. Its description in RNAcentral is "partial 16S ribosomal RNA". It matches the Rfam family "Bacterial small subunit ribosomal RNA", at positions 28 to 508 of the family's 1533-position model. The record is from RNAcentral.
GACGAACGCUGGCGGCGUGCCUAAUACAUGCAAGUAGAACGAUGAGGGAGGAACUUGCUCUUCUGGAUGAUUUGCGCACGGGUGAGUAACACGUAGGUAACCUGCCUGGAAGCGGGGGGGAACACUUGGGAACACUAGCUAAUACCGCGUAAAAGUUAAUGUACCAUAAGAUUUACUUGAAAGGUGCAGUUGCACCACUACCAGAUGGACCUGCGUUGUAUUAGCUAGUUGGUGGGGUAACGGCGGACCAAGGCGACGAUGCAUAGCCGACCUGAGAGGGUGAUCGGCCACACUGGGACUGAGACACGGCCCAGACUCCUACGGGAGGCAGCAGUAGGGAAUCUUCCGCAAUGGACGGAAGCCUGACCGAGCAACGCCGCGUGAGUGAUGAAGGUCUUCGGAUCGUAAAGCUCUGUUAUAAGGGAAGAACGAGUGUGUGAGUAGCAAUGCACGUCUGGACGGUAAUUUUACAAGAAACGGACGGUUACUACCGGC